RNAcentral lists this ribosomal RNA (461 nucleotides) under uncultured bacterium. RNAcentral's name for it is "bacterial SSU rRNA". It matches the Rfam family "Bacterial small subunit ribosomal RNA", at positions 53 to 507 of the family's 1533-position model. The record is from RNAcentral.
ACAUGCAAGUGGAGCGACGACGGGCUGCCCCGGGGCAGAGCCGCGAACGGGUGAGUAACACGUGGGUAACCUGCCUCAAUGAUUGGACGAACCGGGAACUCGGGCUAAUACCAAAUGUGUUCACUCCUUCCGAAGGGGAGUGAGGAAAGGAAGCUUCGGCCUCCGCAUUGAGAUGGGCCCGCGGCCCAUUAGCUUGUUGGUGAGGUAACGGCUCACCAAGGCUUCGAUGGGUAGCUGGUCCGAGAGGACGAUCAGCCACACUGGGACUGAGACACGGCCCAGACUCCUACGGGAGGUAGCAGUGGGGAAUCUUGCACAAUGCGCGAAAGCGUGAUGCAGCAACGCCGCGUGGGGAAGACGGCCUUCGGGUUGUAAACCCCUUUCAGUUGGGACGAAGCUUCGUCGGUGAAUAGCCGGUUGGAGUGACGGUACCUUCAGAAGAAGCCCCGGCUAACUACGUG